This 2295-nucleotide long non-coding RNA is filed under the name Paramuricea clavata. Lineage: Eukaryota; Metazoa; Cnidaria; Anthozoa; Malacalcyonacea; Plexauridae. The record is from RNAcentral.
CACUUCGCCGCUGCCUUGAAGGUGCCACCAUUGUCUGAGUAUAUUAGCUUCGGUCUUCCGCGACGGGCGACAAAUCGUUUAAGACUGAUGAUGAACUCUUCCGUGUUUAGGGAUGGUAGUAGGUCUAGGAACACUCCUCGUGCCAAACUGCAUCCGUAUAGUGCAAGAUAGGAUUUCUUCUCUACUUUCGACUUGGUUCGGUACAUUAUCGGGCCUGCAAAAUCGACUCCAAUCACUUCGUAAGGUGUAUUACCACUGGUUCUGGUUCUCGGUAAGUUGCCGGGCGGUGGUGACUGGAAUGCCUUGGUGCGGAAUCUCUUGCAUCCCCAACACUUCCCUCGUACUUUCUUCACAAGGCGUCGAAGUCGUGGGACCCAGUACAGUUCCCUAAUCCUCGCCAUGGUGAGUCCAACUCCCCCAUGCAAUGUCGCGAGAUGUGCUUGAUGAACCAACUUGCUUGUGAGAGGAUGAUCAUCUGGCAAGUAAAUAGGAUAUUCACCUUCGAGGCGUCCUCGACAUUCUAAGAUUUGUUGCUGGUUAAUCUGCAGGUUUAACUGGAGUUUGUCUUUCUCGAAUUUAGUUGUGGUCUGUGCAUCACGCUGAACUCGUUUGAUCCACCAGGUCUUGUGGUUCUCUAUUUCGGUUGUUGUAAGUGGACCCGAUUCUCUGGUUGCCAACGUUGCCUUGCAGUUGUGAAUGAAUCGUUGUACCCACGCCCCGAUUCGCAAGACCUUUCAAAGCUCAUGUUUAGAUAACAGCUCGUCGAAUGUGUCCUGGACGUUUACGGCCGCCGCGAAGAUAUCUUUAGUGAUCUUGGCUUCAGCAUUGCUACUGGCACUAGAUAUGAGUGUUAUGUUCGGUGGCCACUUAUCUGGGUCUGCCAGCCACUGAAGUCCAUACCUCCAAAGUGGGGCGUCCACCACGCUCCCUCCACGGCUUCCCAAGUCAGCGGGAUUCUCUGCGGUAGGUACAUGGUGCCAGGUGAUACUUGAGUGUUGACGGAUCUUGUUCACUCGGUUGGCAACAAACUGCUUGUACUCGCCCGUACCAAGGAUCCAGAACAACGCGACUGUACUGUCCAGCCAACAAUGGAGGCCUGCUGUAAUGAUGGGUUGAAUUGCUUGUUGAACAUUGGUGAUCAAGUUAGUGGCCAUGUGGCCGGCUACCAGUUCUAAUCUCGGGAUUGUUAGUCCACGUUUGGCUAAACGUGACUUGGCUGUCACGAUAUUCUGUGCUACUCCAUCGUCUUGCUUCACCACGGCAUAAACCACUGCGCUAACGCCUUUUCCACUUGCAUCACCAAAAGCGUGUAAUGUCAGUUCUUGAAUCGGUUGUUGAUGGGGUACAAUUGAUCUUGGUAUUGUUACGGACGCUGGCAAGUUGUUGUACCAUUUGUUCCACAAUUUUUGCAAUUGUUCAGGUAGUUCAGUGUCCCAUGCAAGUUUCUCAUCACUGAUGUCGCGGAAAAUCAGCUUCCCAGAUAAUGUUGUUGGGGAAACCAAACCGAGGGGGUCAUACACUUUGGCUAGGGUAGACAAGACUCCUCGUUUAGUCGGCUCCGUCUCCACCUGAGGGAAUUCAAUUCUCAGGGUGUCAUUCUCUUUGUCCCAGGGAAGGCCCAGUAACUUAGUUUCUGAUGAUGUAGUUCCCAGCUGCUGUUUGGCAUAUGACAGUUCAUCAUGUCCGUCUUUCGCGUCAUUGUCCAACUCUAACUCGCUUUCAUUGCUGUGCCACUUGUGCAGGUUGAACUUAGCAUCUUGGAAGAUCUCCUUUGCCUUCGACUUCUUGAUUUGGGCUUCUUGGACCGUUGCUCCCCCCGAUAGUAAGUCAUCAACAUAUAGACUUUUACAUAUUUCCUCUACGAACUCUGGGUACCGAUAUUCCCAUAAUGUGAGAUGGUGAUUGAUGACCCCACCCAACAGGAAUGGAGAGGAGGUCAACCCAAAUAGGGCUCGAGUAAAACGGUAAACCUCUAUGUUUGAUUGACCAGGAGGUUUCCAGUGGAAUCUAAGAGCGUCGCGCUCUGCUUCCCGUAUUCGGACCUGUAGAAAUGCUUUCUGUAGAUCCCCAGUAAUCGCAACUGGGUGAAUUCGGUUUCUCACAAGUACUGUCCAUAGCAAGUUCUGUAGAGCUUUAUGUGGUAGGUAAAAUUCGUUACCAACAACUACUGCAGGGGCUACCUCAACCACUCCCUGUUCGAUCUGUUCUUGAAUAACAUUGUCAUAUGCUGUAUAAUUGUUGUCCCGUUCUAACUUCUUUACCAGCUGCUGAAGCCUUCGGAUACUUCCGGUCUUG